UACAGAGGGGGCAAGUGUUGUUCGGAAUUACUGGGCGUAAAGCGCACGUAGGCGGCUUUCUAAGUCAGGGGUGAAAUCCUGGAGCUCAACUCCAGAACUGCCUUUGAUACUGGAAGGCUUGAGUCCGGGAGAGGUGAGUGGAACUGCGAGUGUAGAGGUGAAAUUCGUAGAUAUUCGCAAGAACACCAGUGGCGAAGGCGGCUCACUGGCCCGGUACUGACGCUGAGGUGCGAAAGCGUGGGGAGCAAACAGG
This 253-nucleotide ribosomal RNA is filed under the name uncultured bacterium. RNAcentral's name for it is "partial 16S ribosomal RNA". It matches the Rfam family "Bacterial small subunit ribosomal RNA", at positions 524 to 776 of the family's 1533-position model. The record is from RNAcentral.